UUUUAUUCAUUCUGGGGGCUUUCACAGCUUUAUGGCUGUUGGAUAUUUAUGUCCCCAAACUUGCAGCAAGUUUGGUGAAGGCCCCUAAAUUUAUUUUAAUUUAGGUUUUUUAUUCUCUUUUGGUAGAUGGGCUCUAUAUUAAUAUUUAUCCUUUUAUUAUCACUGUGUUUUUAAGAGUCUUAAGGGGAGGGAACCUGUUUUAAGAUGUGUGGGUACCUUUUCUCUUAAUGGAAUGCAUUUCCUUCAAGGCUGCUCAGGUCGUCCUUAAGACACACUGCCCCUCCCCAUCGUUCCCUGCAUUGCAUUUGUGCUGUAUUUGUUUUUGGGUUUUGUGUAGUCUCUGAAUUGAUGGCAUGUAACCAGUUAUUAAUGUUCUCUCUUCUGAGGAUAUGUAUCUAUUGAAAAGCUUAAAAUAGAUUUGAACUAGUAAGUUAAUUGCUACAAAAAUUUGUAGCCCAAAUUACAGAAUACAGUUUCUUUGAAGAAGGUUAAGAUGUUAAUACUGCUGUGUUUGUGAGCUGCACCUCAACAAAUAUUAAUGUAGAGCCCUGCGAAGAAAUAGAUAUCAGGUCCAAGCUGGUAACACAGAAUAGAAGAGUGAGAAAAAGCUGCAGAUUUUUUCAGCUUGCCAGUUUCAGGGAGAACCUUUUCCUCAGUCUCUUUUUCCUCAGUUCAGGGAGAACUUUUUCCUCCAUCUCAAAUACAUGAAAUUCGAAAAUGUUUUGACUAUUGCAACAAUAGUAAGAGUUGAAAAACUUUUCUUUUAAACCUUGUGGGAUUCUGUUGCAUAUUCAGAAUUAGCUUCAUUUGAAGUUCCUUCUUUCACGCGGUGCCUAGCAAAAAUUUCUGCCCUUUGUGAAGAAAAAGGUGCUCAUUCUGUUGCAGAUCCCUCGGUUGUGAAUGCUUGAGGUUACUUAAAGAAAGCUUUAGAACAGCAGGUUUGCCUAAGGAGGUCUUGCAGCAUACCAGCAGUGAAAUAGUAAAUAAACAAAUGUGGGAGUCUGGUUUGACUUUUUUUAAAAGUUUUUGAGAUAUUUUAAAAGUUUGUGGUGAUGCUUUUUUAUGAGCAUAAUUGUUUAUUUCUUCAAGAUUUUGCUAAAUAUGACCCCUAAUGGGAUUUCAAGUAGCUUUAAUUCAAGGAUAGAGUUGUAAUUAACUUAGAAUGGAUUGCACAUUGCUGUUGUACCUUUCUUUGUUUGUACUCUGCCCUUUGCACUUUUCCUGUAGAAGGCCCCCCCAAAAUCCCUGUCUGACUGGAAAACUGACGUAUCCAUGUUAAUUGUUUCAGAAUGGUUAUUGAGCAUGGUCUUGCUUUGCUAAUUCUCAUUGUGGUGCUCCCCCUGAUAACAGUGAAGAUGAGAACAACUCUUCAAGAUAUACUACUGCAACUAGUACUUCUUUUGCUUGCUUAAUUUAUAGGACCAUUUGAAUUAGUUCUUUUUUUCCCUAGAAUGUCUAAGGAAACUGUUUAACUCAAAAUAAUACGUUGUGGGGCUUGUAGUUCUUGCUUAAAGUAUCUGAAUCUCAUAGAGUCUCAAAAUAAAAAAUAGGCAAAUUUCAAAUGCCUUUUUAUUUUGAGGGAUGAAGUGUGUUCUUAGUUACAUUCCAGUAUUGCAGCUUUCAUUGCAGCAGUUUGUGUAUCACAAAGUUGGACAUCUUGCUGUUAGUGAAAUUUCUUUGCUAAAGGUGGCAGUAUUUCAGUGACAUGACUUUUAUAGAUAUUAAUAAAAUGAGGUCUUGGAGUUCAGGUUUUUUUUAAGCUUAAGUAGGGGCACAUAACUUCUUUUAAGGAGCACGGGUUACUGAUACUCUGCUAAAUUGGGUAAAUUUGCACCUGAUCUAUUAAACAAGAAAAGUAACUUGGAGAUGUGGUAAAUGAAGUGCAUAUCACAUAUGAAGAACUUUUAAAAAAUCUGUAUACUUGGAAUCAAAAUAAUCAGACCAGGGAAACAGUGGUAGUGCCUGGGUUCUCUAAGAAUGCAGGUGCCUGUGACUGCUGUUCUGUCUGUCACGGUUGAGCUAGGUUGGAAGUAGUUCAGAGGAAAGGAAGUUUUGGGCCAGCUGUUUAAGGGAUCAAGAUGAAUCAAAGUGUUUGUAAAGCACAAUGUAUAUGAAGUUCUUUCUGAAGUUCUGAAAAACACUUGGUUAGAGGUUUCUGGCACACUGUAAGCAGCAGCUUAGUGCAGUCUUGAUUGUCAGAGCAGAUAUUCCCAGUAAGGCUCUGUUAAAGGAAAUGCAGUUUUAUUGCAGUCUUGUGAAGGUGUGGCUGAGGGGGCUGAGCACUGGAGCCUGCUGCUUUGGCAGCCAGCCAUAUCCUGUCCUGAACCACAGGAUCCAGGGUGUUACCUUCAAGCCAUUUGUUUCUGGCAUCCUGCUAAGUCAGUUUUGACUGUCUCUGGUAUGAAUAAUUGUCAGGCUUGGUACUUAUAUACCUGGACACUGUUGUGAAUAGUGAGGCCCUUGUACCUUCUGAACAAGUUUUUACAAUAACCUCCUAAAUUCUUGCGGGCUUCCUUGCAGUAGUGACAGUCAGCAACACUGCUGUUUUAAUGGCAGUGAACUUCUGCAGAAGUACUGUCUUGAACUUACUUACCUUAAGGUUUUUCUUUCUUGAGGAUAUAAAGAAGUGAAAAAGUUUUGAGAAAAUAAUAGAAUUUUAAUGCCAGUGUCAUCCUAACUAAAAAGCAAAGAAACACAUGACAUUGAGAGCUUGAAAGAUUCCUUAUAAAUUCUCUUGUUAGCAGUUAAAGUGUGUGUCUCUGACAGCUAACUAACUGCCUUAUAUAAGGUUCAAGCUUCUGACAUCUUAAACUUUUUUCCCUUAAAUUUUGUCUUAAAUCUCUACCAUAUUCAGAAAAGGGGCAUGGGUUGUAAAUUUCCGUUUCUGCUGUGCUUAGCCAAUAUGUAGAACUGGUUUUUGCUAACAGAAAUUUUAAUUACCUGAAAUGAAUGCAGUACAACCAAAGGAAACUAUUUCACCAUCUCCCAACUUACGAAAUUAUAUAAUGCUUUGAGAUAAAGAUGUCAUGCAGAGCUUUUUUCUUUUCUCUUUUGUUCAUUGAAUUACUUGCACUGAAUUCUCUAGCUUCUUUCUCAUAAAAUUAAGUGGGGAAAAAUACAUUUUGCUCUUUCACUUGUAAAGUCCAGAAUAAGAAAACACACUUUAAGACUUUAAUGAAGGAACCUGGCAAUGUAAGUAUUGUAAUUUCCUUUAUGUUUUUAGUAGGCAACAGGUGACCUUAUUGAACUCAUGGGUUUUGUAUAAAAAGUCAGAAGGGCAAAUUGAAAGUAGUUUUACAGUUGCCUUUACUUCACAUGCUUUUCUUAAGCAACAAAUUGCAGUAAUUGAAGUUUGGCAGGUUUUUUUUUUUAAUAAAAAACUAAAUUAUGGCUAAAACACCUUGGUUUAAUACGAUUUGUGUUUCUGUUAACUAGCAGCAGAAUUUCAGCAUUUGCUACUUACUGGUAGAGAAGAAAAAUUCCACAGAACUGCCAGUACAGGACCAAAACAAAACUGGAAACUUGGACUUUGAUUACCAGGUGAGCAGUGUUAAAUUGUAGCUCAACUUCUGACACACCAUUAGAGCAGCUGUCCAUUGUAAAGUGGUUCAGCAGUUUUCCCUCCCAGUUCUGGUACUGUGUAUUUGGAACAGUUUGUCAUUUCCCAUUAUUUCCUUAGACUCCUUGCUGACUCCCAGUUGCCCUUUUAGCGUUUUGGUCACUGUGCAGCAAACUCAAAAUGAGCAAACUCCAAGUUGGUUUUGGUACCUUCAUAAAGGACCUUUAAGCACAUGAGUGAAUAGUGUCCCCUGUCAGUAGCAGUAGGGCCACAGAAGUUAGUGUGUUGUGAAGGGUUUUUUUCUGUAACUUGAUUCUGCUUUUGUGUUAAGUGGUAUGAAAGGGCUGGGAUUACUGAUCUUUUUCAAAAGACAGGUGGUGGCAAAAUACUGAUGUUGAAUUUAAUUCAAGAAAGAGACUGGUAAGUAUGUGCAUCACUUUAAUGCAUGCAAAUAAUAGUAACAAUAACAAGCUUAAUUUUAUAGCGUUCAGUUUACAAAGAAGAUGAGAAGAAAAUGCAGAGCUAAUAUCACUUGCAUCCACUGGGAACCCUCUCUGAACUGUUCUUCAUAUAGCCAUCUGUAAUGUGUGAUCAUUUUGUAACAGUCUCUGAUUAAACAGAAGUGAACCACU
Vidua macroura (Pin-tailed whydah) is the source of this 4191-nucleotide long non-coding RNA. RefSeq lists it as uncharacterized. The transcript is spliced from 2 exons. The record is from RefSeq and is a predicted model, not a curated record. Lineage: Eukaryota; Metazoa; Chordata; Aves; Passeriformes; Viduidae.